RNAcentral lists this long non-coding RNA (1026 nucleotides) under Equus asinus (donkey). RNAcentral describes it as "lncRNA (ENSEASG00005032117.1, ENSEASG00020031673.1)". The record is from RNAcentral. Lineage: Eukaryota; Metazoa; Chordata; Mammalia; Perissodactyla; Equidae.
GACUGGGGUGUGGCAGAGGGAGGGGCUCCCUCUCCUCCAGGGGGCUCUGGGGGCAACUUCUCAAGCAGGGCGUGUGCUGGACUCUUGCCCCAGCCCUGCCCUGCAUUUGCCCACACUGCAUCCUCCUGGCCAUGCCAGUGGCUCAGUGGUGCUCCAGCCUUGCGCAGCCACCGCCUGCUCACAGGCCCGGCCCUUUGUGCCCACGCAUUGCCAUGGAGACGGCGAUUCAAAGGCCUGGCACUUGAAGUCUUCCCUCCUCUCCUGGCGGGCCGGGGCGGGGUAGCCGGGGUGGUUGCCCGAGCCGGCGGGUGUCACCCCCUCUCUCCGUCCAGCUGAACACCAGGCCCUGCCCGGACUAGCACACCCACUACCUUCCGCUCUGGUGCUGCGGCUGGCUCUGGGCCCCACCACAGGAACAAGGGUUCUUCUACAGGGACUGUAUUCAAAGUGGGAUACAAUGAGGGAAACUGAGGCACACUGGUUCCUGGGGGCUCUCUGCAGCCCGGCAUGGUGCUUAGAACACAAAGGUUGCAGUGUGCAGCAUGGCAGCCUUGUGACUCUGGACAAGUCCUCCCUGCCGCCAGCCCAAUCCGCCAUCUGCACAGUGGGCUGCUCCCUGCCUGGGUGCCUGCAGGGUCCCUGAGACUCUGGACAUGGGCCUGGGGAGAUGCUGCCCCUUCCUCCAUGACCCCCACACCGGAGAGCCUGGGGCAGGAAGGCGGGGUGGGCCGGCCCAGGCUCCUGAUACAGGACUUCACCUGUCCCACCACACCUCUGCAUGCCCUGUGUGUCCCCUGCCUCUGAGUCACUGUCCAGAGCGUGGCGGGGGGCCUGCAUCCUCUGUACCACUCACGCUUUUCAUCACCCUGUGACCCACCCUGAUCACCUCUUCAGACUCACGCAGCUGGAAAAGUCCACGGCAGGAUUUUCUGGCUGCAGCUGCCCCCUCACACCCUCCCUGGAGCGGCAGAGGGAUAGGUGGCCACUUGGGAUGAACUGCUCGCUCGCUGUGGCACUUGGGCAGGU